Molecule: ribosomal RNA, 489 nt
Filed under: uncultured bacterium
Lineage: Bacteria
Description: partial 16S ribosomal RNA
Rfam family: Bacterial small subunit ribosomal RNA
Source: RNAcentral
AAUCAACGCUGGCGGCGUGCCUAACACAUGCAAGUCGAGCGAGAAAAGGGGGGCAACUCCCUGAGUACAGCGGCGCACGGGUGAGUAACACGUGGGUAAUCUGCCCUGAAGUGGGGAAUAACACCGGGAAACCGGUGCUAAUACCGCAUAUGAUCACGAUGUCUGCGGACGUAGUGAUGAAAGGAGCAAUUCGCUUCAGGAGGAGCCCGCGGCUGAUUAGCUAGUUGGUGAGGUAAUGGCUCACCAAGGCAACGAUCAGUAUCCGGUCUGAGAGGACGGUCGGACACACUGGAACUGAGACACGGUUCAGACUCCUACGGGAGGCAGCAGUGGGGAAUCUUUCGCAAUGGGGGAAACCCUGACGAAGCAACGCCGCGUGGGUGAUGAAGUCUCUUGGGACGUAAAACCCUUUCGACAGGGAAGAAACCGCAAGGUUGACGGUACCUGUAGAAGAAGCCCCGGCUAACUCCGUGCCAGCCGCCGCCGUAA